RNAcentral lists this ribosomal RNA (252 nucleotides) under uncultured bacterium. Its description in RNAcentral is "partial 16S ribosomal RNA". It matches the Rfam family "Bacterial small subunit ribosomal RNA", at positions 524 to 776 of the family's 1533-position model. The record is from RNAcentral.
UACAGAGGUCUCAAGCGUUGUUCGGAUUCAUUGGGCGUAAAGGGUGCGUAGGCGGCGCGGUAAGUCGGGUGUGAAAUCUCGGGCUUAACUCCGAAACUGCAUUCGAUACUGCCGUGCUUGAGGACUGGAGAGGAGACUGGAAUUUACGGUGUAGCGGUGAAAUGCGUAGAUAUUCGCAAGAACACCAGUGGCGAAGGCGGCUCACUGGCCCGAUACUGACGCUGAGGCACGAAAGCGUGGGGAGCAAACAGG